RNAcentral lists this long non-coding RNA (356 nucleotides) under Heterocephalus glaber (naked mole-rat). RNAcentral describes it as "lncRNA (ENSHGLG00000038788.1)". The record is from RNAcentral. Lineage: Eukaryota; Metazoa; Chordata; Mammalia; Rodentia; Bathyergidae.
CAUCCUCUCUUCCUGCUCUCCUUGCCCUGCUCAUCACUUUCCCCUGGUUUUUUUUUUUUUCCUCCCUUCCUCCCCUCUGCCUCCCUCCACCUCCCCCUUUUCUUUUUUGCUGAAUCUUAUUGAUCCAGAAGGUGGCUAAUUAGCCCUUCCCGUCGUGCCUGGCUCCCACUUCCAGCGCGUCCCCUCCGACCGCUGCAGCCGCCGUCGCCGCCGCCUCCUCCUCCUCCUCCUCCCGGCCGCCGCCGCCGCCGCCGCCGCCUGCUUUGCAUCCCAAUUACAGCCUAGAGCCGCUGCCGCCGCCGCCGCCGCUUCUCCUCCGUGGCCCCUGCCCGCUCCGGGGGCUGUAAACUCCCCGC